ACCAGACUCCUACGGGAGGCAGCAGUGGGGAAUAUUGCACAAUGGGGGAAACCCUGAUGCAGCGACGCCGCGUGAGUGAAGAAGUAUUUCGGUAUGUAAAGCUCUAUCAGCAGGGAAGAAAAUGACGGUACCUGACCAAGAAGCCCCGGCUAACUACGUGCCAGCAGCCGCGGUAAUACGUAGGGGGCAAGCGUUAUCCGGAUUUACUGGGUGUAAAGGGAGCGUAGACGGUUGUGCAAGUCAGAAGUGAAAGCCCGGGGCUCAACUCCGGGACUGCUUUUGAAACUGUGAAACUGGAGUGCAGGAGAGGUAAGCGGAAUUCCUAGUGUAGCGGUGGAAUGCGUAGAUAUUAGGAGGAACAUCAGUGGCGAAGGCGACUUUCUGGACUGUAACUGACGCUGAGGCACGAAAGUGUGGGGAGCAAACAGGAUUAGAUACCCGGGUA
This 445-nucleotide ribosomal RNA is filed under the name uncultured bacterium. RNAcentral describes it as "bacterial SSU rRNA". It matches the Rfam family "Bacterial small subunit ribosomal RNA", at positions 330 to 792 of the family's 1533-position model. The record is from RNAcentral.